UACGUAGGGGGCAAGCGUUGUCCGGAAUUAUUGGGCGUAAAGAGCGCGUAGGCGGUCCGAUAAGUCGGCUGUGAAAGUCAGGGGCUCAACCCUUGAAAGCCGGCCGAUACUGUCGGACUAGAGUCCGGAAGAGGCGAGUGGAAUUCCCGGUGUAGCGGUGAAAUGCGCAGAUAUCGGGAGGAACACCCGUGGCGAAGGCGGGUCUCUGGGACGGUACUGACGCUGAGACGCGAAAGCGUGGGGAGCGAACAGG
This 253-nucleotide ribosomal RNA is filed under the name uncultured bacterium. RNAcentral's name for it is "partial 16S ribosomal RNA". It matches the Rfam family "Bacterial small subunit ribosomal RNA", at positions 524 to 776 of the family's 1533-position model. The record is from RNAcentral.